UGUGCCUUCCGAUCUCUCAGCAGGAAAAGCUCCAGGCUGCCAUUCUCCUCCUCCCCCCAAUCUAAAAUCUUGACCCUCCAUUUUUCAGAGGUUGCAAAAGAGAGACAGAAAUUCAUCAGCUAAUGGAAAAAAGCCCCUUCCUUUCCCAACAGGAAGCAGGAAGGAC
This is a long non-coding RNA of Crotalus tigris (Tiger rattlesnake), 166 nucleotides long. RefSeq lists it as uncharacterized. The record is from RefSeq and is a predicted model, not a curated record. The transcript is spliced from 3 exons. Lineage: Eukaryota; Metazoa; Chordata; Lepidosauria; Squamata; Viperidae.